Molecule: ribosomal RNA, 403 nt
Filed under: bacterium
Lineage: Bacteria
Description: partial 16S ribosomal RNA
Rfam family: Bacterial small subunit ribosomal RNA
Source: RNAcentral
UGGGGAAUAUUGCACAAUGGAGGGAACUCUGAUGCUGCGACGCCGCGUGAACGAAGAAGGCUUUCGAGUCGUAAAGUUCUUUUAUAUGGGAAGAUAAUGACGGUACCAUAAGAAAAAGCCCCGGCUAACUACGUGCCAGCAGCCGCGGUAAUACGUAGGGGGCUAGCGUUGUCCGGAAUCACUGGGCGUAAAGGGUUCGCAGGCGGAAAUGCAAGUCAGGUGUAAAAGGCAGUAGCUUAACUACUGUAAGCAUUUGAAACUGCAUAUCUUGAGAAGAGUAGAGGUAAGUGGAAUUUUUAGUGUAGCGGUGAAAUGCGUAGAUAUUAAAAAGAAUACCGGUGGCGAAGGCGGCUUACUGGGCUCAUUCUGACGCUGAGGAACGAAAGCGUGGGUAGCAAACAGG